Molecule: ribosomal RNA, 1781 nt
Filed under: Penaeus semisulcatus
Lineage: Eukaryota; Metazoa; Arthropoda; Malacostraca; Decapoda; Penaeidae
Description: SSU rRNA
Rfam family: Eukaryotic small subunit ribosomal RNA
Source: RNAcentral
GGCGAAACCGCGGACGGCUCAUUAAAUCAGAUAUAACUCAUUGGAUCUCUGCUGAACCGCACUACUUGGAUAACUGUGGUAAUUCUAGAGCUAAUACAUGCCUUUGUAGUCUCCGACCGCGAGGGAGGAGCGCUUUUAUUAGACCAAAACCCUCGGCGGCCGGCCCUUCAACCGGUCGGCCGCGAUCUCCUUGGUGAAUCAGAAUAACUUUCGCCGAGCGCACGACCCCUCCCGUAACCCGGGUUGGGUCGGCGCCGCGUCCUGCAGGCGUCUGCCUUAUCAGCUCUCGAUUGUAGGUUAAACGCCUACAAUGGCUAUCACGGGUAACGGGGAAUCAGGGUUCGAUUCCGGAGAGGGAGCCUGAGAAACGGCUACCACAUCUAAGGAAGGCAGCAGGCGCGCAAAUUACCCACUCCCGGCACGGGGAGGUAGUGACGAAAAAUACUGUUGCGAGCCCCGAACGGGGCCUCGCAAUUGGAAUGAGUACACUUUAAAUCCUUGUACGAGGAUCGAGUGGAGGGCAAGUCUGGUGCCAGCCGCCGCGGUAAUUCCAGCUCCACUAGCGUAUAUUAAAGUUGUUGCGGUUGAAACGCUCGUAGUUUGACUUCUGCUCCGGACCGGCGGUCCGCCUUAGCGGCGGCUACUGCCGGGUUCCGAGCUGUGUCCCCGCCGGCGCGCACGGGGUUUUUUAUGCCCUUAACCGGGUGUCCCCCUGUGGCCGGCACGUUUACUUUGAAAAAAUUAGAGUGCUCAGAGCAGGCUGGUCUUUGCUUACAGCCCGAAUGGUCGUGCAUGGAAUGAUGGAACAGGACCUCGGUUCUAUUUUGUCGGUUUUUCGGAACCCGAGGUAAUGAUUAAUAGAAGCAGACGGGGGCAUUCGUACUGCGACGCUAGAGGUGAAAUUCUUAGACCGUCGCAUGACGACCUACUGCGAAAGCAUCUGCCAAGGAUGUUUUCAUUGAUCAAGAACGAAAGUUAGAGGUUCGAAGGCGAUCAGAUACCGCCCUAGUUCUAACCUUAAACGAUGCUGACUAGCGAUCCGCCGCAGUUAUUCCCAUGACCCGGCGGGUAGCUUCCGGGAAACCAAAGUCUUUGAGUUCCGGGGGAAGUAUGGUUGCAAAGCUGAAACUUAAAGGAAUUGACGGAAGGGCACCACCAGGAGUGGAGCCUGCGGCUCAAUUUGACUCAACACGGGGAAACUCACCAGGCCAGGACACCGGAAGGAUUGACAGAAUGAAGGCUCUUUCUCGAUUCGGUGGGUGGUGGUGCAUGGCCGUUCUUAGUUGGUGGAGUGAUCUGUCUGGUUAAUUCCGAUAACGAACGAGACUCUAGCCUGCUAAAUAGUCGACGGGUCUCUCGCCCAGCCUUCGCCCUCGGGCGUCGGCUUCGGUUCCCCUAAACCCGGCCGUCGCGCGGGCCUCCACCGUCGGUUGGUUAGCGCCGCCGGCGGCGCGCCCCGCGGCGCCGGAAACUGGCGUCCGCUUCGCAGUCUUCUUCUUAGAGGGAUAAGCGGCAGCAAAAAAUAUACUAGCCGCACGAGAGUUUGAGCCAUAACAGGUCUGUGAUGCCCUUAGAUGUUCUGGGCCGCACGCGCGCUACAAUGGAGAGUUCAGCGAGCUGUCCCUGCUCCGAGAGGAGCGGGUAACCUCGUGAAAGCUGUCCUUAAAGGGGAUUGGGGCUUGCAAAUGUUCCCCAUGAACGAGGAAUUCCCAGUAGGCGCAAUUCACCAGAUUGCGCCGAUUUAGUCCCUGCCCUUUGUACACACCGCCCGUCGCUACUAC